This 239-nucleotide ribosomal RNA is filed under the name uncultured bacterium. RNAcentral's name for it is "partial 16S ribosomal RNA". It matches the Rfam family "Bacterial small subunit ribosomal RNA", at positions 92 to 334 of the family's 1533-position model. The record is from RNAcentral.
CGACCGGCGCACGGGUGCGUAACGCGUAUGCACCUACCUUAACAGGGGAGUAACACUGAGAAAUUGGUACUAAUACCCCAUAAUAUCAUAGAAGGCAUCUUUUAUGGUUGAAAAUUCCGAUGGUUAGAGAUGGGCAUGCGUUGUAUUAGCUAGUUGGUGGGGUAACGGCUCACCAAGGCGACGAUACAUAGGGGGACUGAGAGGUUAACCCCCCACACUGGUACUGAGACACGGACCAG